AGAGUUUGAUCAUGGCUCAGGACGAACGCUGGCGGCGUGCUUAACACAUGCAAGUCGAACGGUGAACCACUUCGGUGGGGAUCAGUGGCGAACGGGUGAGUAACACGUGGGCAACCUGCCCCUAGCUCUGGGAUAACCUCGGGAAACCGAGGCUAAUACCGGAUAUGACUCCGAGCGGCAUCGCUCGAGGUGGAAAGUUUUUCGGCUAGGGAUGGGCCCGCGGCCUAUCAGCUUGUUGGUGGGGUAACGGCCUACCAAGGCGACGACGGGUAGCCGGCCUGAGAGGGCGACCGGCCACACUGGGACUGAGACACGGCCCAGACUCCUACGGGAGGCAGCAGUGGGGAAUAUUGCGCAAUGGGCGAAAGCCUGACGCAGCGACGCCGCGUGAGGGACGAAGGCCUUCGGGUCGUAAACCUCUUUCAGCAGGGACGAAGCGCAAGUGACGGUACCUGCAGAAGAAGCACCGGCUAACUACGUGCCAGCAGCCGCGGUAAUACGUAGGGUGCAAGCGUUGUCCGGAAUUAUUGGGCGUAAAGAGCUCGUAGGCGGCUUGUCACGUCUGCUGUGAAAACUCGGGGCUCAACCCCGAGCCUGCAGUGGAUACGGGCUAGCUAGAGUGCGGUAGGGGAGACUGGAAUUCCUGGUGUAGCGGUGAAAUGCGCAGAUAUCAGGAGGAACACCGGUGGCGAAGGCGGGUCUCUGGACCGAUACUGACGCUGAGGAGCGAAAGCGUGGGGAGCGAACAGGAUUAGAUACCCUAGUAGUCC
This 770-nucleotide ribosomal RNA is filed under the name uncultured bacterium. RNAcentral describes it as "bacterial SSU rRNA". It matches the Rfam family "Bacterial small subunit ribosomal RNA", at positions 8 to 796 of the family's 1533-position model. The record is from RNAcentral.